CCUCCAUCUUGCGGCAAGAUAAGUUAUUAUAGCUUAUCCCUCUUUGCCGAUUCAUCAGUAACUCGAACUUUGAUUUUCUCAAACCUGACGUUUGCUAAAUCAUACGAAUCUCGAGUGCUAAAUUAGAAAGCCUUGGCGCCAUACCCACAAGUCUUGAUCACAAGAUGAUAUGCUCCAAUCGUGAUCACGCAUUAGGCCUCCAAAAUUAUAUUUCUUUUUUAUGUGGGACUUUUAAU
Molecule: long non-coding RNA, 236 nt
Filed under: Populus trichocarpa (black cottonwood)
Lineage: Eukaryota; Viridiplantae; Streptophyta; Magnoliopsida; Malpighiales; Salicaceae
Description: long non-coding RNA (PTRI_LNC001286)
Source: RNAcentral